GGUGCCAUAGCUCAGUUGGUAGAGCAUCGGACUGAAAAUCCGUGUGUCACUGGUUCGAAUCCCGUUGGCACCACCA
This 76-nucleotide transfer RNA is filed under the name Prevotella sp. RNAcentral describes it as "tRNA-Phe". It matches the Rfam family "tRNA". From Rfam's summary of the family: Transfer RNA (tRNA) molecules are approximately 80 nucleotides in length. Lineage: Bacteria; Pseudomonadati; Bacteroidota; Bacteroidia; Bacteroidales; Prevotellaceae. RNAcentral also lists the same sequence under 3 other names. The record is from RNAcentral.